GACGAACGCUGGCGGCGUGCUUAACACAUGCAAGUCGAACGGAAAGGCCCUGCUUUUGUGGGGUGCUCGAGUGGCGAACGGGUGAGUAACACGUGAGUAACCUGCCCUUGACUUUGGGAUAACUUCAGGAAACUGGGGCUAAUACCGGAUAGGAGCUCCUGCUGCAUGGUGGGGGUUGGAAAGUUUCGGCGGUUGGGGAUGGACUCGCGGCUUAUCAGCUUGUUGGUGGGGUAGUGGCUUACCAAGGCUUUGACGGGUAGCCGGCCUGAGAGGGUGACCGGCCACAUUGGGACUGAGAUACGGCCCAGACUCCUACGGGAGGCAGCAGUGGGGAAUAUUGCACAAUGGGCGGAAGCCUGAUGCAGCAACGGCGCGUGCGGGAUGACGGCCUUCGGGUUGUAAACCGCUUUCGCCUGUGACGAAGCGUGAGUGACGGUAAUGGGUAAAGAAGCACCGGCUAACUACGUG
RNAcentral lists this ribosomal RNA (468 nucleotides) under uncultured bacterium. RNAcentral describes it as "partial 16S ribosomal RNA". It matches the Rfam family "Bacterial small subunit ribosomal RNA", at positions 28 to 507 of the family's 1533-position model. The record is from RNAcentral.